This 72-nucleotide transfer RNA is filed under the name Bos taurus (domestic cattle). It matches the Rfam family "tRNA". From Rfam's summary of the family: Transfer RNA (tRNA) molecules are approximately 80 nucleotides in length. Their secondary structure includes four short double-helical elements and three loops (D, anti-codon, and T loops). RNAcentral also lists the same sequence under 1 other name. Lineage: Eukaryota; Metazoa; Chordata; Mammalia; Artiodactyla; Bovidae. The record is from Rfam by way of RNAcentral.
UCCUUGGUAGCUCAGAUGGUAAAGAAUCCACCUGCAAAGUGGGAGACCCAAGUUUGAUCCUUGGGUCAGGAA